This 330-nucleotide ribosomal RNA is filed under the name uncultured eukaryote. Its description in RNAcentral is "partial 18S ribosomal RNA". It matches the Rfam family "Eukaryotic small subunit ribosomal RNA", at positions 1470 to 1796 of the family's 1831-position model. The record is from RNAcentral.
CCCUUAGAUGUUCUGGGCCGCACACGCGCUACAAUGGUGAAUUCAACAAGUCAACCAAAGCCGAUAGGUGGAGGUAAACUCGUAGUAUUCGCCGUGAUGGGGAUAGACCCUUGUAAUUAUUGGUCUCCGACGAGGAAUUCCUAGUAGACGCAAGUCAUCAACUUGCAUCGAUUACGUCCCUGCCCUUUGUACACACCGCCCGUCGCUACUACCGAUUGGAUGGUUUAGCGAGAACUUUGGACCGGAGCUCGGGUGGUCAGCAAUGGCCGCCCGAGACAUACUGGGAAAUCGCUCCAGCUUGAUCAUCUAGAGGAAGUAAAAGUCGUAACA